CUAGAUAUGGGCGCAGCCUGUCUAGCCUGCCGCGUGAGCGAUGAAGGCCUUAGGGUUGUAAAGCUCUUUCAGGGGGGAAGAUAAUGACUGUACCCCCAGAAGAAGCCCCGGCUAACUCCGUGCCAGCAGCCGCGGUAAUACGGAGGGGGCUAGCGUUGUUCGGAAUUACUGGGCGUAAAGCGCACGUAGGCGGACGGAGAAGUCAGAGGUGAAAUCCCAGGGCUCAACCUUGGAACUGCCUUUGAAACUUUCUGUCUUGAGGUCGAGAGAGGUGAGUGGAAUUCCGAGUGUAGAGGUGAAAUUCGUAGAUAUUCGGGGGGGGGGGGGGUGGCGAAGGCGGCUCACUAGCUCGAUACUGACGCUGAGGUGCGAAA
Molecule: ribosomal RNA, 374 nt
Filed under: uncultured bacterium
Lineage: Bacteria
Description: partial 16S ribosomal RNA
Rfam family: Bacterial small subunit ribosomal RNA
Source: RNAcentral